RNAcentral lists this unclassified non-coding RNA (90 nucleotides) under Pseudomonas prosekii. The record is from RNAcentral. Lineage: Bacteria; Pseudomonadati; Pseudomonadota; Gammaproteobacteria; Pseudomonadales; Pseudomonadaceae.
GUGGGAGCCGAGCUUGCUCGCGAUGAGGCCAGCACAUUCAACACCUGUGUUGGCAGUUGAAGCGCUAUCGCGAGCAAGCUCGGCUCCCAC